AACGCACAUUGCGCCCUUCGGUAUUCCGUUGGGCAUGCCUGUUCGAGCGUCAUUUAAACCUUCAAGCUUCUGCUUGGUGUUGGGCGUUUGUUCCGCCUCCGCGCGUGGACUCGCCUCAAAUUCAUUGGCAGCCGGUCAGUUGGCUUUCGUGCGCAGCACAUUGCGUAGCGGCUCCAGCUUGCCUCCUACCAUUAAGCUACUCCUACAUCUUUUGACCUCGGAUCAGGUAGGGAUACCCGCUGAACUUAA
Molecule: unclassified non-coding RNA, 249 nt
Filed under: uncultured Pleosporales
Lineage: Eukaryota; Fungi; Ascomycota; Dothideomycetes; Pleosporales
Description: sequence contains 5.8S rRNA gene, ITS2, 28S rRNA gene
Source: RNAcentral